ACACGACUACAUUAGACUACCCGGGUAGUCCCAGCUGUAAACUAUGUGCGUUAGGUGUGUCAGUGACCAUGUGUCACUGAGGUGCCGAAGGGAACCGUGAAACGCACCGCCUGGGAGUACGGUCGCAAGGCUGAAACUUAAAGGAAUUGGCGGGGGAGCACAACAACGGGUGGAGCUUGCGGUUUAAUUGGAUUCAACGCCGGAAAUCUUACCGGGACCGACAGCAACAUGAAGGCCAAGCUGAAGACUUUGCCGGAUUAGCUG
Molecule: ribosomal RNA, 264 nt
Filed under: uncultured archaeon
Lineage: Archaea
Description: partial 16S ribosomal RNA
Rfam family: Archaeal small subunit ribosomal RNA
Source: RNAcentral